AGGAAAACAUGACAGAGAACCAGGCAACUAACGUGCAAGAUGAAAUUACAGAUGCCAGACUGAAACUGAAUGAAGUGAGCAGCUCGGAAACCGAGCAUGAAGAUGAAGACAGUGAUCAUUCAAAGAAUCAUUCACGAGCAUCGAGUGUCUGAUGCAACAGAUGUUCCUUUGGGGAGUGAUAUUAUGGCUGCUGCUUACUGCCUAACAUGUAUCUUAGAAUAGGUAAAGGCCAAAGAAAAGUAUGUUUCAGCCUUCUUGGGCUUUAAUGCUUUCGAGUUCAAAGUUAGAUAAAAAAAAAAAACAAGGAAAAAAAAAGCC
Molecule: unclassified non-coding RNA, 318 nt
Filed under: Hevea brasiliensis (rubber tree)
Lineage: Eukaryota; Viridiplantae; Streptophyta; Magnoliopsida; Malpighiales; Euphorbiaceae
Source: RNAcentral